GGAGAGGUGGCCGAGCGGUUUAUGGCGGCGGUCUUGAAAACCGCUUAGGGUUAACAGCCCUACGGGGGUUCGAAUCCCUCCCUCUCCG
RNAcentral lists this transfer RNA (88 nucleotides) under Elusimicrobiota bacterium. RNAcentral describes it as "Elusimicrobia bacterium (groundwater metagenome) tRNA-Ser". It matches the Rfam family "tRNA". From Rfam's summary of the family: Transfer RNA (tRNA) molecules are approximately 80 nucleotides in length. Their secondary structure includes four short double-helical elements and three loops (D, anti-codon, and T loops). Further hydrogen bonds mediate the characteristic L-shaped molecular structure. tRNAs have two regions of fundamental functional importance: the anti-codon, which is responsible for specific mRNA codon recognition, and the 3' end, to which the tRNAs corresponding amino acid is attached (by aminoacyl-tRNA synthetases). tRNAs cope with the degeneracy of the genetic code in two manners: having more than one tRNA (with a specific anti-codon) for a particular amino acid; and 'wobble' base-pairing, i.e. permitting non-standard base-pairing at the 3rd anti-codon position. Lineage: Bacteria; Pseudomonadati; Elusimicrobiota. The record is from RNAcentral.